UUCUUUAAUAUUUAUGUUUUGUAUUAAUAACUAACUAUUGUUUUUUUACAGUUUCGUAGGCGAUUUUCUGGUUCCGGAGGAUUGUUAGCGGGUUCUUCUGGAGCACCGCCACCGCCGCCACCACCACCUUCUCGUCUUCCGGAACCGGUGGACGCUCCUCCACUUUUCCCAGAGUGUGAUAUAACUCUGGAGGAGGUAGAGGAAAUUUUAAAUUCCUUCGACGCUCGCGAGGUGCCGCUAAUCGAUCCCGAACUAGACGGGGCGUUAUGGUUCGGGGUUAACGAUAAAGAUUUGAGGAAAAAAUUUACAGCAAUAAUAACGUCAAAUUUUCCUCAACUCUACUACUGUUGGACGGUGGUACCGGACAACAUCAAACGUUCUUGGUGGCAUUCGUUCAUCCAAUCUUUUCGGUGGAAAAAAAAGUACACCGAUAAAGUUUACAAAGAGUUCAACCAGCUGGGUAUGCAGCGGUUGAAACAAAUGAUGAACAAUGCCAAACGUCGUCAUCAGCUGCAUGGACUGCCACCGGAAUGGGCAACAGAUGACUUGUACCAGCAGCUUCUUUCGCAUUGGAACUCAGACCAUUUCAAGAACAAGAGUUCCAAGGC
Long non-coding RNA from Tarenaya hassleriana, 608 nucleotides. RefSeq lists it as uncharacterized. The record is from RefSeq and is a predicted model, not a curated record. Lineage: Eukaryota; Viridiplantae; Streptophyta; Magnoliopsida; Brassicales; Cleomaceae. The transcript has 3 exons.